AGUCACUGACAUUAGAUACCCGCGUAGUCCCAGCCCUAAACGAUGCGCGUUAGGUGUAUCGGUGACCACGAGUCACCGAGGUGCCGAAGGGAAACCGUGAAACGUGCUGCCUGGGAAGUACGGUCGCAAGGCUGAAACUUAAAGGAAUUGGCGGGGGAGCACAACAACGGGUGGAGCUUGCGGUUUAAUUGGAUUCAACGCCGGAAAUCUUACCGGGACCGACAGCAACAUGAAGGCCAAGCUGAAGACUUUGCCGGAUUAGCUG
Molecule: ribosomal RNA, 265 nt
Filed under: uncultured archaeon
Lineage: Archaea
Description: partial 16S ribosomal RNA
Rfam family: Archaeal small subunit ribosomal RNA
Source: RNAcentral